Molecule: ribosomal RNA, 456 nt
Filed under: uncultured bacterium
Lineage: Bacteria
Description: SSU rRNA
Rfam family: Bacterial small subunit ribosomal RNA
Source: RNAcentral
AGAACGAACGCUGGCGGCACGCCUAACACAUGCAAGUCGAACGCAAACCUUCGGGUUUGAGUGGCGAACGGGUGAGUAACACGUGGGAAUCUACCUGAUAGUGGGGGACAACUGUUGGAAACGACAGCUAAUACCGCAUACGCCAAGAGUUAAAUUUUGGGAAAGAUUUAUCGCUAUCAGAAGAGCCCGCGGCAGAUUAGGUAGUUGGUAGGGUAAUGGCCUACCAAGCCGAUGAUCUGUAGCUGGUCUGAGAGGAUGACCAGCCACACUGGGACUGAGACACGGCCCAGACUCCUACGGGAGGCAGCAGUGGGGAAUCUUGGACAAUGGGGGAAACCCUGAUCCAGCGAUGCCGCGUGAAUGAAGAAGGCCCUUGGGUUGUAAAGUUCUUUCACCUGUGACGAUAAUGACGGUAACAGGAGAAGAAGCCCCGGCUAACUCCGCGCCAGCAGCCGC